Molecule: long non-coding RNA, 391 nt
Organism: Schistocerca gregaria
Lineage: Eukaryota; Metazoa; Arthropoda; Insecta; Orthoptera; Acrididae
Exons: 3
Source: RefSeq, a predicted model, not a curated record
UGCUUCUCCCCAGAUAAGUGUGUGUAAGUGUCGAGCUUGUUCGCAAAUAGGUGUGUGUCAGUGUCGUGCUUCUUCCCAAAUAAGUGUGAGUUAGUGUAGUGCUUCUUCCCAAAUAGGUGUGUGUCAUUGUAGUGAUUGUGCCCAAGUAGGUGUGUGUCAGUGUAGUGCUUGUCCCCAAAUAGGUGUGUGUCAGUGUGGUGCUUCUUCCCAAACAGGAGUGUGUCAGUGUAGUGCUUCUUCAAAAAUAGGUGUGUGUCAGUGUACUGCUUCUUCCCAAAUAGGUGUGUGUCUGUGUAGUGCUUCUUCCCAAAUAGGUGUGUGUCUGUGUAAAGCUUCUUCCCAAAUAAGUGUGUGUCAGUGUAGUGCUUCCUCCCAUGUAAGUGUGUGUAAG